ACGCGCAGAACCUUACCCAGACUUGACNUNCCUUCGAACCUGAANUAAUUUUCGGNGGUGCCCUUCGGGGAGCGGAGUGACAGGNGCUGCAUGGCUGUCGUCAGCUCGUGUCGUGAGAUGUUCGGUUAAGUCCGGCAACGAGCGCAACCCUUGUCCCGAGUUGCCACCAGGUAAAGCUGAGCCACUCUCGGGAGACUGCCGAUGCAAAUCGGAGGAAGGUGGGGAUGACGUCAAGUCCUCAUGGCCCUUAUGUCUGGGGCUACACACGUGCUACAAUGGGCGGUACAAAGGGUUGCGAAGCCGUGAGGUGAAGCCAAUCCCAAAAAGCCGUCCUCAGUUCGGAUCGCAGUCUGCAACUCGACUGCGUGAAGUCGGAAUCGCUAGUAAUCGUGGAUCAGCAUGCCACGGUGAAUACGUUCCCGGGCCUUGUACACACCGCCCGUCACACCAUGGGAGUCGUUUGCUCCAGAAGUCGGUGACCCAACCUUU
Molecule: ribosomal RNA, 489 nt
Filed under: uncultured bacterium
Lineage: Bacteria
Description: bacterial SSU rRNA
Rfam family: Bacterial small subunit ribosomal RNA
Source: RNAcentral